This 414-nucleotide ribosomal RNA is filed under the name uncultured bacterium. Its description in RNAcentral is "bacterial SSU rRNA". It matches the Rfam family "Bacterial small subunit ribosomal RNA", at positions 358 to 772 of the family's 1533-position model. The record is from RNAcentral.
GGAAUAUUGCGCAAUGGCCGAAAGGCUGACGCAGCGACGCCGCGUGGGGGAUGAAGCAUUUCGGUGUGUAAACCCCUGUUGCUCGGGACGAACAAGCGAUUUUGAUCGCUCUGACGGUACCGAGUGAGGAAGCACCGGCUAACUCCGUUCCAGCAGCCGCGGUAAUACGGAGGGUGCGAGCGUUGUCCGGAAUCACUGGGCGUAAAGGGCGCGUAGGCGGUCUGCUAAGCGUGCGGCGAAAGCCUGGGGCUCAACCCCAGGUCUGCCGUGCGAACUGGUGGACUUGAGCACUGUAGAGGCAGGUGGAAUUUCGGGUGUAGCGGUGGAAUGCGUAGAGAUCCGAAAGAACACCGGUGGCGAAGGCGGCCUGCUGGGCAGUAGCUGACGCUGAGGCGCGACAGCGUGGGGAGCAAA